RNAcentral lists this ribosomal RNA (268 nucleotides) under uncultured bacterium. Its description in RNAcentral is "partial 16S ribosomal RNA". It matches the Rfam family "Bacterial small subunit ribosomal RNA", at positions 57 to 305 of the family's 1533-position model. The record is from RNAcentral.
GCAAGUCGCACGAGAACGCUUUAGCUUGCUAGAGCUAGUAAAGUGGCGCACGGGUGAGUAACGCGUGGGUAAUCUACCCUCGAAUCGGGGAUAACAUCGCGAAAGUGAUGCUAAUACCGGAUCAUGUCCCGGGGUCUUCGGCCUCUGGGAUCAAAGGUGGCCUCUACAUGUAAGCUACUGUUUGGGGAUGAGCCCGCGUACCAUUAGCUAGUGGGUAGGGUAACGGCCUACCAAGGCUGCGAUGGUGAGCUGGUCUGAGAGGAGGAGC